UACGGAGGAUCCAAGCGUUAUCCGGAUUUAUUGGGUUUAAAGGGUGCGUAGGCGGCCUAUUAAGUCAGGGGUGAAAGACGGUGGCUCAACCAUCGCAGUGCCUUUGAUACUGAUAGGCUUGAGUACACUAGAGGUAGGCGGAAUGUGACAAGUAGCGGUGAAAUGCAUAGAUAUGUCACAGAACACCGAUUGCGAAGGCAGCUUACUAUGGUGUCAUUGACGCUGAGGCACGAAAGCGUGGGGAUCAAACAGG
RNAcentral lists this ribosomal RNA (253 nucleotides) under uncultured bacterium. RNAcentral describes it as "partial 16S ribosomal RNA". It matches the Rfam family "Bacterial small subunit ribosomal RNA", at positions 524 to 776 of the family's 1533-position model. The record is from RNAcentral.